GUCUAUGCUCUCAACUGCGAGCGCUAAAUACAAAUACUUUGACCAUGUUUCCGCCCGGUCUCGAACCGGGGACCGGGAGCCGAGAUUAGUCGUCCUUAACUUCCUUAACUUUUCCCAUUCAUUCUCUAUGGUAGUUCUUAUCACUACGGAUGUAAUAUUUUUCCGGCCACAAGCGGGAUUUUGGUGGCGCCGUUUCCCCCCUCGGCAGAAGUAAGGAGAUGAUUUAUUUUCUGAGUGAAAGACAGCAUCGAACGUUCUCGGGCGUUGAACGUUCUGGAAGAGUUGACAAUUAUUUUCAUCCGUGGACAAGUUAACUUUUCGCCAGGAGACACCAAGUUAACAACAAGUUAGCUUUUCAAUUUGAAAAGAAAUCAUGAAUCCCAUCAGCUUCUUCCCCGGAAAGAUGACGGUGACAUUUAGGAAGGGACCAUCGGGUCAUCUGCGGCAGGACCCAUCCUCUGAGGCCAUGAGGAUAAAACAUAAUCCUGGGCUUCAGGUCAAUAGUCCCGCUGAGAAACAUGAGCUAGUGAAGACCAGCGCUCGCACUGUGGUCAUCCAGCGAGGAGGGGAUGUGUCGGACCGACAGGAGGUGAUGGGAGAGUACCUGCUGCAGUUCGGCAAGUACCAGGGAAAAUCGUUCAAGUGGCUCCUAGAGAACGAUGUUGGCUACACCAUCUACCUGAUGAAAAAGGUAGACGAUGAGGAGAGAGCCGGGACCUUCAACCCACAGGGACACAGUAAGGACAGCCUGCUGUCUUUUCUGGACUAUGCCAGGAGCUUCCAGGAAAUACAGGACCUGAGGAACUACCUGAUCUCCAGGACGCCUACUGAACCAGUGGCGUCAGAGGGGGACAAUAUUGUCGGCUUUGGUCGCAGGGCCAAAACCACCUGGAGGCAGAUCUGGGAGAGCAGGGCAGAUGGUUAUGCUGCCUACAUCUCACGCCAAAAGUGCAUCAAAAACAGCAAGAUGUACAACCUGCAGCAGUACAUCCUCAAGCAGGAAAGGGCUGACUCCUGUCCAACACCUGCAGAAGGCUCCACCACAUCUCUUGCCUCCACCCCAACAUCAGGCACUCUAGAAGGCUCCAUCACAUCUACUGCCUCCACCACAUCUACUGCCUCCACCCCAACAUCAGGCACUCUAGGUCAGUUCACAACAAUAUUCAAAUACUGACUUCAUGAUCUUUUAAUGUACCUAAAACACAAUGAAUGUAUGGUUUAAUGGAGGAGGAUGAGGAACUGGAGAGACAGAUGUUGAACCUGUCUCAAUCUUUAUUUGACAACGGACUAAGUAGGUGGAUCAUAAAAGGUUAAACCGUAACUCUUCCUGUACUUGAUCAAAUGUCCCCUGUGCUUUCAGGCCCACCAGCAGCAGUCCAGGGAAGAGCAGCUGUGGAUCCAACAAAAGGUUUUUCUUCAUUAGUGGAUGAUGGUAAGUGUUUUGUGUUAUAUGCAUGCUUCGUUUAAGCUGUCGUUCAAGGAUUUGGCGUGUGAAAUACCACAGAGGCUUAGAUACAGGUUCACAUGCUGCUAGACCUGCAGAACCGGAUGACCCCACUGUGACUGCUGCGAAAGCCACAGCGAAGGCCCUGUUGCCGGUCCCUGCCCAGCUGCUCGCCAUUGCCCCAGAGCUCGGGAUAAGAGAGCAGGAGCCCGAUGUGGUGAAACAAACACACAGAAAGGCAGUCUCCCGCAGUCCUUUGGAGUCUGUGAUAAGAGCAGGUCCAUCUCUUCCUAAAACAGGGUUUCCCCAGGUUUGAUCAACCCAAAUUUAAGACUUUUUUUAGACUUUUUUAAG
This is a long non-coding RNA of Gadus morhua (Atlantic cod), 1798 nucleotides long. The record is from Ensembl. Lineage: Eukaryota; Metazoa; Chordata; Actinopteri; Gadiformes; Gadidae.